GCGGCCGCCGGGCGAUUUCGGAAACUGCCGCGGGCCGGAAGGGGGUGGGUAGGAGGCGGCGGAGCUGGGGAGGGAGCGAGGGCGAGGACGCCCCCGCAUGCAUCUCUUCCACCGCCCCAGGAGCCUGCAGACAUUCCGCGCGAUUGGCUCCGAAGUCGAAGUGUGCUUCCCCAGCCACAGAGUCCCAAAAACCGGGACAGGCAUUUGGAGGCGUUAGAGAUCUGGUCAGAGCAAAGGGAAUGAAGGCCAACAGCCAGAGUCGGGCCCGGUGUGCCCGAGGCCCUGACGCUAUUGAUGGCCUAUACGCAUGAGCGCACCUGCUCGGGGAAGCGCGUCCACGCAGCAUCUGUGCGCGCGAUCGUCUUGUCAGUCUCCCUCCAGCUAUUUCUCCCCAGCAGGGAUAGUCUGGGCCGGACUUGCAAUACUUCUGGACUCCCUAGCUGUAGCUGUUUGCCAGUUUUGCUGUUUGCCUCCUUGUCACGACCUCGGAGAGGGCAGAUGG
Rattus norvegicus (Norway rat) is the source of this 502-nucleotide long non-coding RNA. RefSeq annotates it as chondrogenesis-associated transcript. The transcript has a single exon. The record is from RefSeq and is marked validated. Lineage: Eukaryota; Metazoa; Chordata; Mammalia; Rodentia; Muridae.